AUUCAUAAUAUUUUAGCCAAAAUCAAAGGAAGCAGGAUAUAGGAAACGGCCGCAUCAAAGAACGCGCUGGAAGGAAGAAAAAGAGAACGUGUGGCUCACAUCUGCCCACGUAGUAAAUAUAAACCGGCUGGGCAUCCUGCACCAAUGACAAGGCGCAGCACCAGUGGCUACUGCCUAUUUCUUGGCUCUGAUUUGAUCUCUUGGUCAUCAUCCAAACAAAAAGUGGUAUCCCUAUCCGGAACCAAAUCAGAGUAACGUUGGGUAGUAAGUGGGGCCACUGAAUCCCACUCGACGUCGUCUCAUUCUCUGUAUCGAUAUCAAAGCCACGUACUUAGCUGCCAAUCCUAUUUUGCAUGACCGAACCAAACACGUGGAAAUUGACUACCACUUUGUCCAGGAAUGUUUCUUCUUUGACGCUCUCACCGUGUCCAAUUCACACCUGUACAGUUGGUUAGGAUUUCUAUUUUCUGCUUGUAUGUAGUAACUGCUCUGUUAUUGUAGAAUACACUGAUGAAGGUAUUAGAAUACAUGAGUUUCUUUGUGGAUGGCUGCCAUGU
Long non-coding RNA from Vitis riparia (riverbank grape), 557 nucleotides. RefSeq lists it as uncharacterized. The record is from RefSeq and is a predicted model, not a curated record. NCBI's taxonomy places the organism in Eukaryota, Viridiplantae, Streptophyta, Magnoliopsida, Vitales, Vitaceae. The transcript has 2 exons.